GGGCCCGCACAAGCGGUGGAGCAUGUGGCUUAAUUCGAUGCAACGCGAAGAACCUUACCUGGGUUUGACAUGUAUUUGAAUAUGGCCGAAAGGUUAUAGUCCUUCGGGACGGAUACACAGAUGCUGCAUGGCUGUCGUCAGCUCGUGUCGUGAGAUGUUCGGUUAAGUCCGGCAACGAGCGCAACCCUCGCCCUAUGUUACCAGCGGAUAAAGCCGGGGACUCUUAGGGGACAAACCUAUUUUUAGGUGGGAAGGUGGGGAUGACGUCAAGUCAGUAUGGCUCUUACAUCCAGGGCUGCACACGUGCUACAAUGGUCGGUACAAUGGGAAGCGACACCGCGAGGUGAAGCGGAUCCUGAAAGCCGAUCCCAGUUCGGAUUGGAUGUCUGCAACUCGACUCCAUGAAGCCGGAAUCGCUAGUAAAGGCGUAUCAGCUACGACGCCUUGAAUACGUUCCCGGGCCUU
RNAcentral lists this ribosomal RNA (465 nucleotides) under uncultured bacterium. RNAcentral describes it as "bacterial SSU rRNA". It matches the Rfam family "Bacterial small subunit ribosomal RNA", at positions 917 to 1382 of the family's 1533-position model. The record is from RNAcentral.